UACGAAGGGGGCUAGCGUUGCUCGGAAUUACUGGGCGUAAAGGGCGCGUAGGCGGACGACUAAGUUGGGGGUGAAAUCCCAGGGCUCAACCCUGGAACUGCCUCCAAAACUGGUCGUCUUGAGUAUGGGAGAGGUGUGUGGAACUCCGAGUGUAGAGGUGAAAUUCGUAGAUAUUCGGAAGAACACCAGUGGCGAAGGCGACACACUGGCCCAUUACUGACGCUGAGGCGCGAAAGCGUGGGGAGCAAACAGG
Molecule: ribosomal RNA, 253 nt
Filed under: uncultured bacterium
Lineage: Bacteria
Also listed under: 1 other name
Description: partial 16S ribosomal RNA
Rfam family: Bacterial small subunit ribosomal RNA
Source: RNAcentral